Molecule: ribosomal RNA, 253 nt
Filed under: uncultured bacterium
Lineage: Bacteria
Description: partial 16S ribosomal RNA
Rfam family: Bacterial small subunit ribosomal RNA
Source: RNAcentral
UACGUAGGGUGCAAGCGUUGUCCGGAAUUAUUGGGCGUAAAGAGCUCGUAGGCGGUCUGUCGCGUCGGCUGUGAAAUCCCGGAGCUCAACUCCGGGUCUGCAGUCGAUACGGGCAAACUGGAGUACUGCAGGGGAGACUGGAAUUCCUGGUGUAGCAGUGAAAUGCGCAGAUAUCAGGAGGAACACCGGUGGCGAAGGCGGGUCUCUGGGCCGAUACUGACGCUGAGGAGCGAAAGCAUGGGUAGCGAACAGG